UUUUCCCUUUAGGAGUUUUAGCAAAUAGAUGAUACGAAACUAAAUGAAUUUUCUUUAAAAGAAGAAUUCAAUAUAUUUCAUAACGAGCGUAACCUGCUACAGCCAUGGUAAAUGGCAAGAUCAUCAAGAGCACUCAAAGCGACUCCUCCUGUCAAACAGAUCAAUGCCCCUGAAACCACUCUAACACCCCACGAUUUUGUUUGUGCUCCUUCCGCCGCCGUGGCCUGUGAUUGUAGUGAAGGUGCGGCGGCGGAUCUGCUCUUCAUCAGGGACAUAAUCCUUCGACCCACCAUCUCUUGCUCUCUCUCUCUGUACAGGAAGAUGUCGCAGGGGGAACUUUCAUAUUCGGACC
Molecule: long non-coding RNA, 352 nt
Filed under: Olea europaea subsp. europaea
Lineage: Eukaryota; Viridiplantae; Streptophyta; Magnoliopsida; Lamiales; Oleaceae
Source: RNAcentral